This is a non-coding RNA of Podarcis lilfordi (Lilford's wall lizard), 72 nucleotides long. The record is from the annotation of a GenBank genome assembly. Lineage: Eukaryota; Metazoa; Chordata; Lepidosauria; Squamata; Lacertidae.
GCCAAUGUGGCAUAGUGGUAAGAGUGCAGGUCUAGGGCCUGGGAAACCAGGGUUCAAAUCCCGCAUUUGGCC